GGCUCAGGAUGAACGCUAGCGGUAGGCUUAAUACAUGCAAGUCGUGGGGCAGCAUGAGUAGCAAUACUUGAUGGCGACCGGCAAACGGGUGAGGAACACGUACACAACCUUCCUUCAAGCGGGGAAUAGCCCAGAGAAAUUUGGAUUAAUACCCCAUAAUAUAUUUGAUAAGGCAUCUUAUUAAUAUUAAAGCUUCGGCACUUGAUGAUGGGUGUGCGGCUGAUUAGAUAGUUGGCGGGUAACGGCCCACCAAGUCUACGAUCAGUAGCUGAUGUGAGAGCAUGAUCAGCCACACGGGCACUGAGACACGGGCCCGACUCCUACGGGAGGCAGCAGUAAGGAAUAUUGGACAAUGGACGAAAGUCUGAUCCAGCCAUGCCGCGUGAAGGAUUAAGGUCCUCUGGAUUGUAAACUUCUUUUAUAUGGGACGAAAAAAGGGCAUUCUUGUUCACUUGACGGUACCAUAUGAAUAAGCACCGGCUAACUCCGUG
This 491-nucleotide ribosomal RNA is filed under the name uncultured bacterium. Its description in RNAcentral is "bacterial SSU rRNA". It matches the Rfam family "Bacterial small subunit ribosomal RNA", at positions 21 to 507 of the family's 1533-position model. The record is from RNAcentral.